RNAcentral lists this ribosomal RNA (747 nucleotides) under Salmonella enterica subsp. enterica serovar Thompson. RNAcentral's name for it is "partial 23S ribosomal RNA". It matches the Rfam family "Bacterial large subunit ribosomal RNA", at positions 1 to 688 of the family's 2925-position model. Lineage: Bacteria; Pseudomonadati; Pseudomonadota; Gammaproteobacteria; Enterobacterales; Enterobacteriaceae. RNAcentral also lists the same sequence under 1 other name. The record is from RNAcentral.
GGUUAAGCGACUAAGCGUACACGGUGGAUGCCCUGGCAGUCAGAGGCGAUGAAGGGCGUGCUAAUCUGCGAUAAGCGCCGGUAAGGUGAUAUGAACCGUUAUAACCGGCGAUACCCGAAUGGGGAAACCCAGUGUGAUUCGUCACACUAUCAUUAACUGAAUCCAUAGGUUAAUGAGGCGAACCGGGGGAACUGAAACAUCUAAGUACCCCGAGGAAAAGAAAUCAACCGAGAUUCCCCCAGUAGCGGCGAGCGAACGGGGAGGAGCCCAGAGCCUGAAUCAGCAUGUGUGUUAGUGGAAGCGUCUGGAAAGGCGCGCGAUACAGGGUGACAGCCCCGUACACAAAAGCGCAUGUGCUGUGAGCUCGAUGAGUAGGGCGGGACACGUGGUAUCCUGUCUGAAUAUGGGGGGACCAUCCUCCAAGGCUAAAUACUCCUGACUGACCGAUAGUGAACCAGUACCGUGAGGGAAAGGCGAAAAGAACCCCGGCGAGGGGAGUGAAAAAGAACCUGAAACCGUGUACGUACAAGCAGUGGGAGCCCCACCACUAAGCCAGUGGUGAACUCCACAUACGCAUCCUUUGCUGAAGGCAAUGGUUAACGGAGCGAAAGCGACGUUCAACCGCAAAACAAGCAGAGGGGGCUUAGUGGUGGGGUGACUGCGUACCUUUUGUAUAAUGGGUCAGCGACUUAUAUUCUGUAGCAAGGUUAACCGUAUAGGGGAGCCGGAGGGAAACCGAGUCUUAAU